CGGAUUACAGCCUGCAACCCGGCUGUAUGAAGCUGGAAUCGCUAGUAAUCGCAGAUCAGAAUGCUGCGGUGAAUACGUUCCCGGGUCUUGUACACACCGCCCGUCACACCAUGGGAGCCAGGAAUGCCCGAAGCCAGUGGCCUAACCGCAAGGGAGGAGCUGUCGAAGGCAGGCCCGGUAACUGGGGUGAAGUCGUAACAAGGUACC
RNAcentral lists this ribosomal RNA (207 nucleotides) under uncultured bacterium. RNAcentral describes it as "partial 16S ribosomal RNA". It matches the Rfam family "Bacterial small subunit ribosomal RNA", at positions 1294 to 1500 of the family's 1533-position model. The record is from RNAcentral.